GUUCGAUUUCUAGCUCAAAAAUGUGAGGUGUUACAUGCAGUUACUGCUAAAAAACUUGAGAUAGCCAUGUAUGCAAGAAAUGGACUAGGUAGAAGCCACAGUCGGAAGUUCAAGAAGAAUUCCACCCUGCAGUGUGAUUUCUGCAAACUCAAGGGGCAUACUAAGGAAAACUGUUGAAAGAUAAUUGGCUAUCCUCAAGAUUGCAAGGCUAAGAAGAAGUUC
RNAcentral lists this long non-coding RNA (222 nucleotides) under Capsicum annuum. RNAcentral describes it as "long non-coding RNA (CANN_LNC007849)". The record is from RNAcentral. Lineage: Eukaryota; Viridiplantae; Streptophyta; Magnoliopsida; Solanales; Solanaceae.